AUUAUCUAUUCAUCAGCCUCCCAUUUUUGCCAAUUACAUUCUUCUAAAGUGAAGUACCAGCAGGUAUUUUGCACAUUUACAAUUAAUGAUAAAAAAAUCUGGCGUACUUUAAAUCUAUUACGCUGCUAUGUAAUUUAUCUUAAAGAUGCAGAAUUGCUAAUGUAAAUUAAUGUUUCUGUUGAACUAAGACAUGGAGGGGGGUAUUAAAACCAGUCUAGCGUUUCUUUCCUUCAUUCCUCGACUUUGCUUUCAAUUUUCUUUCCACUUUAUACACAAAGAAUCCGUUACUCCACUGCAUUAAUAUAUGCUAAAAAUCGCUGUCUAAACGGAGCUGGGAACAUACUCGCUCCUUUCCAGUAAUUGGCGAGCUGAACUCUGUUUGCCUUCCCCGCUCUCUUAUAAAACUGACUGUUUGCAGCUAGCCGAUAUUUUCAACACAAUAGCAAAUCGACGGAACAGUGUUAAAUAGAUGUGACAAAAAUAGCGUUGGGUAUGCAAAGAUAAUAGUUUAAUACGUAUCUUUGCUUAAAGACGUGUUUGCCUUUGCGCACACCGUGCUGUACGUACUUUAUGUGCAGAGAAGCUCGCUUUACACGUAAAUGUAAAUCUGUUCUUCAUGCUUCACGCGUCUGUGUAUAUAGACAUCUAUAUACACACGUGCAUAUGACUGCGGAGACAAAGUGAGAGAGAGAUCUGUACGGAAGACACGUUAGUGUAACUGAAUUCUUCUGACGGAUUUUGCAGGGAGGUGAAAUCCUCUCAGGUCUUAUAUGUUUGGGAAAAUGUUUCUUUCCCGCAGAUAGCCGUGUAGACAUAGGCGCAGGACUCCGUCCAGGGGCAAAGAAACACGGAUCCGCUGAGUUGAGCUUGCUCCAGAGGAGGCAGAUGGAUUUGCCUUCAUCCUCCCUUGUGUGCUUCGUGAAUCGCUAUUAUUAUAUCUUUUAGAUCCCCUCGCCCUUUUUCCGUGCCACCCUUUUCCCCUCAACCCGGCGGUAAAGCUAUUCUUGCAGAUCCUUUUUUUGAAAUAAGCGAGGUUGAGAAAGUGCCCUAAAUAUGACGGGUGUUUGAUGCGCUGAACUCAGCUGAGUUCUUGGUGAGUGCUGAAAAGAAAAAAGAAACUUCUUCUCCUAGGACGAGCCGUGUUCUGCAUCUGCGUAUUUACACUUCCCGGGAUUGUGAAAUGAAUCUGAAUUGGAAAAACUUCAGCUCCUUUUUCUUUUUGCCUUUUCCAGACAUCCUGACACAAUCACAGGGCUGCUUUGAAAACUGCAUCAAGUAAUUCUGCAGUUGGGGGGGGGGGGGAUUAUAUCCGUUUGAAAAACAGUCUCACCGUCAUAUUCGCGCAGAGAGCGAAUAACCGUCGAAAACGCGCGAUAGAUUUCCCUCGACCCUCUUUACUGCCGGUGAAAAAAUCACUAGCCUAAAAUCCCUUCCUAAAGGGGGUCCCAUUGCUCUCGGGCUCAGCGGAGGAGGCUGCAGCUGCAGUGGAGAGCUCGGAGAGAGCAACGUCCUCUGACAAGUCUGAUUUCGCCCAGGAAAGCUGGUUAUCUCGGCCGCAGCAACCUGGAGGGCCAUCCCUGCUCGGCCCAGCGGUGCGCCUUGAGCCCGGCAGAGCAGCGGCUGUGUCCUGCGCUCGCCCUGCCGCCCGGAGCCCUUCUCGUCUUGUGUGCGUGUAUAUAUAUACACGUAUAUAUGUGCGUCAAUAUAUAUGUGUGAGCGUGUACAUACAUACAGAGAGAGAAACCGCAAGUAGUAAGGCCUGCGGAGCAUCAGCUCUCUCGGCUUUGCCACGGAGCAAAUAGGCCAGCAAAAAAUAAGGGGCUUGGGACGGGAUUUCCCACUAUUGUCCCCUUCCCCCUGAACGCCCAUACCGCUCCCCCGCUCGCCGCCGUGGCUGUUUCUCGAGCGCAGCUCCCGCGCCCAGCCUGCGCGCAGCCCCCGCCGCCGCGGCUCCCGGCGCCGGGCCGUGCCGUGCCCUGCCGCCCCGGGCUGCGGCGGGAGCAGCUCCUGAAGCUCCGCUCUUGAACUUUUCCUACCCAGCGACUUGACGGGCUGCUCUCGCUGUCCUGUUGGCGUCUACAAGGAGAAAAUCUGGCAGGGGCUGCCUUCCCAGCAGUCCCCGAUCUGCUCCAAACAUGCUUAGAGGCAGCCUCUCUCGGAGGGAGGGGUGCGCUACAUUCGCAGUCAAAUUACAUGGCUGGCCUCUAAAGGCACUAGCUUCGGAUUUCCAAACUAAUACUCAUCUUUUAAAAGCCGAGCCAAAAAGAAAAUGCAAGGAAGGCCUCAGAUGCGGGAGACCUCGGGGAGGAAAAGAAGUCAAUCUCGGAGGUUUUGCGAAGAAAGGCUGUUAUUUCCUAGAGGAUAGACAUUUAAGUUGUUAAAUAUUAGUUUUUAAUUACAUAUUGUUCUUUUAUAAAAUAAUAUUUAUACUUAAGUCCGGGCAGGUAUUCAAUUGAAUUUUCAAGCCAUCAGCUAACUAUUCUUUACCCAACUGAUGGAAAACAGCCCACUGUGCAAGCGCCGCGGUAUGUUGCUUCAGCAGACGGCGCUUGAGUGUUCACGAUUGCACUUUGUGCCCGGACAAACGCCGCUGGGCUGUGCGGGGCCCCGGACUCGCCGCCCCGGGAGCCCAGGCGGGGCGCACCGCGGCCGGCCCGGCUGCGGAGGGGACCCCGGGUCAGCCCCGCUCGGAGCCCGGCCCGUCUGCACCGGCGGCGCGGGAGCCCUGUCGGUGAAACUGAACCGCGAGGUGCAGGAGGAAGCGGCGAAGGCUCUCCCCGGCGCAGCCUGACACAGCCACACAGCGAGGAAGAUGAAUAACAAGAGCACUACUACUAAUAAAUAAAACGUUCGGGUUUGGAUGUAGCCGCCAGUUCCGCGGUGAAUUACGAGCUGUCCCACGAGGUGCUCGAACCCAAGUCAUCCCGUCCCCCCGCCCCGGCACUCGGCGCCCGGAACCUGGUGGCGAGAUCGCUGCAGACACAACGAGCUCUUGCGGGGCUUUGUGGGCACCCGGGGCGGCCGAGGUUUCCUGCAGUGAGUCCGCUGCAGAAUACUGAGCUGCUGAUGCAUCUCCUCAGAGAAACUGUGCGCGUGUGUGCGUGUGCGUGUGCGUGUGCGUGUGCGCGUGUGCGUGUGCGUGUGCGUGUGCCGAGCUCGGAGCUCAGUCCCGGCUAGGGCACCGCGCUGCGGGGCUGCGGUGUGCGUGCCCGAGCCGGGCGCUGCUGCCCACGCGAAGGGGAGGCCCCCGCGCUGCGCCGCGAGGUGCCCGAGCCGGGCAGGCCUCUCCGCAGCCGGGCGGCCGCUGCCCCGCGAGCAGCGCCGGGGGCUCCGCGCCCCGCGCGAGGCGCCGAUGCCGGCGCGCUCCCCGGCGCCCCCCCGCGCCCCCCCGCGCCCCCCCCGCGCCCUCGGCCCCGCGCCUCAGACGGGAGUGCCGCCGCGAGGGCGCUCGAGGGCAGACUCCCCCCGCCGCCGCCUUCUCUGCCCGCCGAGGUGGCCAUUUUGCAAAGCUGAGCCGAGGCCUCCCGCGGCCGCCCGCGCCUCCCCCGCACCGCCGCAGGGGCGACGCGGCCCCGCGCCGCCGGCUCCGGCCCCGGCCCCGGCCCGCCCGCGGCGGCCCUCCGCCACCUCUCCGCUUUCCUCGGCGGCGCGACUUGACCCCCCGGCUUCCGCCGCCCCGCGAAGAGCUGCCAGGGACGGGCCACGGUCGCCGUCCCCGGGCAGGCCCGGAAGGGAAGAGGCGGCCCGGCUGCCUGGCAGCGCUUUGCCUCUGCCCCGCGGCCGCCGGCAGCGCCCCGAGGUACCGCGAAGGACGCAGCGCCGGUGCCAGCACUGACCCCGGGCAGGACAGGCAGGCAUGGCAGGACAGGCAGGCAUGGCAGGACAGGCACACAUGGCAGGACAGGCAGGCAUGGCAGGACAGGCACACAUGGCAGGACAGGCACACAUGGCCAGACAGGCACACAUGGCAGGACAGGCACACAUGGCAGGACAGGCAGGCAUGGCAGGACAGGCACACACGGCCGGACAGGCACACAUGGCAGGACAGGCACGCAUGGCAGGACAGGCACACACGGCCGGACAGGCACACAUGGCAGGACAGGCACACAUGGCAGGACAGGCAGGCAUGGCAGGACAGGCACACAUGGCAGGACAGGCACGCAUGGCAGGACAGGCAGGCAUGGCAGGACAGGCACGCAUGGCAGGACAGGCACACAUGGCAGGACAGGCACACAUGGCAGGACAGGCAGGCAUGGCAGGACAGGCACGCAUGGCAGGACAGGCACACAUGGCAGGACAGGCACACAUGGCAGGACAGGCACACAUGGCAGGACAGGCAGGCAUGGCAGGACAGGCACACACGGCCGGACAGGCACACAUGGCAGGACAGGCACACAUGGCAGGACAGGCAGGCAUGGCAGGACAGGCACACAUGGCAGGACAGGCACACAUGGCAGGACAGGCAGGCAUGGCAGGACAGGCACGCAUGGCAGGACAGGCACACAUGGCAGGACAGGCAGGCAUGGCAGGACAGGCAGGCAUGGCAGGACAGGCACACAUGGCAGGACAGGCAGGCAUGGCAGGACAGGCACACAUGGCAGGACAGGCACACAUGGCAGGACAGGCACACAUGGCAGGACAGGCACGCAUGGCAGGACAGGCACACAUGGCAGAACAGGCGCACAUGGCAGAACAGGCACACAUGGCAGGACAGGCAGGCAUGGCAGGACAGGCACACAUGGCAGGACAGGCACACAUGGCAGGACAGGCACACAUGGCAGAACAGGCACGCAUGGCAGGACAGGCGCACAUGGCAGGACAGGCACACAUGGCAGGACAGGCACGCAUGGCAGGACAGGCGCACAUGGCAGGACAGGCAUGCAUGGCAGGACAGGCACACAUGGCAGAACAGGCGCACAUGGCAGAACAGGCAGGCAUGGCAGGACAGGCGCACAUGGCAGGACAGGCAGGCAUGGCAGGACAGGCAGGCAUGGCAGGACAGGCACACAUGGCAGGACAGGCAGGCAUGGCAGGACAGGCAGGCAUGGCAGGACAGGCACACAUGGCAGGACAGGCAGGCAUGGCAGGACAGGCAGGCAUGGCAGGACAGGCACACAUGGCAGGACAGGCAGGCAUGGCAGGACAGCCAUGCAUGGCAGGACAGGUGUACAUGGCAGGACAGGCACGCAUGGCAGGACAGGCACACAUGGCCAGACAGGCAGGCAUGGCAGGACAGGCACACAUGGCAGGACAGGCGCACAUGGCAGGACAGGCAGGCAUGGCAGGACAGGCGCACAUGGUCAGACAGGCACACAUGGCAGGACAGGCAGGCAUGGCAGGACAGGCAGGCAUGGCAGGACAGGCAUGCAUGGCAGGACAGGCGCACAUGGCAGGACAGGCACACGUGCUUUACAACUCAUGACCCGGCGGGGCAGGCACACAGGCACUUUGCGCUGGAGCCACCUGGCUUGGAAAUGAAUUUUGUGGGUUUGGAGGGGGUGAGACACUUGCUUGGGGGUGUAAAUAUUUCUGCUCUCCAUAAACUGGCAGAGUGGACCAAAAUGAGCAUAUGUGGUUCAGCAUCUGUUUAGGUACACGCAUCUCAAAGAAGAAUAUUGGCUUUUCACCUCCAGGUACUAAAUGGAAAAUAAAUAGAGGUUGAGGUCCUCUAUUCUGUUUGCAAUUGCCUAUUCUAGGACUGAGGAGAUCUCCAGUUCACUGGUUGUCUUUCAUUUAACUGUUUGGAGACCAGAAAUGGAAAAUAUUUGCAGAGAAGAAAAGAAUAGCUGCAUGGGAUCAUUUGCAAUUCAGUGUGAAAAUAUUCUAACAAACCCAUUUCUAUCCCAGUGCAGUUGAAAAAAUAGCUCAUAGCCAUCAACAGCCCAUUCCGCUCUGCUGGACAGCACGGAAAGUUUUAGGCAACUAAACUCCUAAUCGGAGACAGCAGAAAACAGCAUAAUCAUGUCUUUGACUAUAACUAUGUGGCAGCUUUAAUUGCUAAAAAUGUUAGUAAUGGCUAAAAUAUUACCGUUUUAGUAAAUGUGAAACUUCCUGGAAAUGGUAAACUCUAUAGCCUGUACGAACAGAAACCAAAAAAAGCAUUAACUUCAAGUGGCACACUUGGAAUCGUAGAGGAAUGAACGCUUGGAAGGAAGUCAGGAUAAAAGCAGAACAGUCCAGUGUAGCAUGCAGGGUGUGUGCUCCAGAGCGGCACAUCCAGAAACAACUGUUUUUCAAAUUAAUGCUGACAAAGAAAUUAUCAUCAUUCAUAUUUAAAUACCUUUUCAUUGUUGCUGCUACCAUGGGCAGAACAUUUCAAGUAAAAAUAUGCUUCCUAAAGCACGAGCAGAGCUGGCCUUUCUGGGCUGGCCACCAGAGGCUUGGUUUACUUCUUGUGGAGACGUCUGUUCGUAAUGUUAGGAGCAAAUCGCCGAGCUUGGAGUUCUCUGGCCUGCUUCAGCAUGUGCUUAUCACUAGGUAGGCAGGGAUCCCGCAGCUGGACAGUGCCUGCUUGUGGCUGACCUUGUUUGAGACAGAAGAUGCAAAAAGCCCCUGCAUGGGGGCCGGCCAGAAGACCCUUGGAAAAUACAAUGUUUGGCUUGUCUAGAACUGAUUCUUCCUUGCAUUGGACAUCUGGAAAUGGGAAGGAAGGAAGGAACAAGGGAACAACGAGCACCUGCACAUCCUUUCUGAGUUACAGAGCUGCAUGUGAACAUCCUGGACCCUGGGGGUACUCCUGCUUUCACGAAUCCAAUCACUGUACUAUUUACUGGAGCAAUGUACAGGCCAAUGGAGCUCUGAUAUUCUGGCAUCUAGAAGAUUUCUUGAAGGAGUGUUUGGUUAUGGAUUAUUCAUUUGCUUUGCAAUAACAUUUUGCAGACCCUGUCAAGGGUUAGGGCUCUGUUAUGCCAGGACCCUUGAAAAUACAUAGAACCAGACAACAAUCCCUGGCGCGGGGAUCUAAGUAUGAGGGCAAAGACAGGAGCCUGUCUUCAAUAAAGCAAGAAAAGAAAGUGUCAAAACUACAGUAAGCAGUAAGUGGGAAAAGGUGACAUUGAGGACAAAAGGACACUCCUAACUCCAGUGUACUGUUUAAAGGGUCUCUUCUGUUCUGGCUGAAAUCAGUGGCAAAAUGUCUCUUGAUACUUAGAGUGCAAGAUUAAACCUCAUUGGGCUAUGAUGUCGUUAUCACAUUUAGCUCUCAAACAAUAUUUCUCAUCUUUUUUUAGGGUCUUAGACAAGUGUAUUAUCAUGCAGUGCUAUGUGUUACUUGGUAUACUGGCAGAACCAUCAAGAAUGUCACAAAGCAAAUCACAGGACAAGCUAUAGAAGCAGGACAUGUAGCUGUAGUCGCAGAUAAUAUGUAUAUGUGAUUUAGGAAUUAGAUUACACCACUUACUCUCCCAGUGAGUGCGUCACUAUGGACCAUGCUUCAUUAAUACCUCCUAUAGAAAAUCUCUUUUCUUAUUUAAAGCAAUUAAAUAGUUUACAAGUCAUCCAGAAAUGGCCAUGUGAGCUUGGUGGAGGGUGCUUACUACGAAUUUUCCUCUCUGACAGUGACACUAUGUAACCCAUAUGUGUGGUCAAAAUGAAGGAAGAAAAACGAGGACUCAGAAGGGAUCAACUGCACGAGAUUUAUUUUGGUCUUGUGUUUUUCCCGAUUAAUUCUGACUUAUUCGAUAAACACUGAUUACUCAUCUGUUAUCCUUAGAUUUGAGUGCCUCAGGCAAUGGGUAAGAAACUAUAGCCCCAGUCAUAGCUUCCUACCUCACCUUGAUCAGAACCUAUCAGGAGCUAAUUACGGUCUUGUGGUCCACUGAAAUGAAUGAGAAAGGCAAAGCACUUGCAGAUGCAUAUCCAUGCAAUCCUGGCUUUCCUUAUCGGGCAUUUCAGUGCUGGAGGCACCACCUCCACGAUGAGCUCCACCUUGAGCUCCAAGCACAUUUCUUGCUGUCAGACAUGUUCUGGACAAGAUGCAGAAUGUCAUUGCUUCUGGGUAAACUCUUUCCCUAAGGUUGUCUUUUGGGCAAUUUCUCUGAGCCCUAAACAUGUUCUGAAAUUUAGAUCAGAAACAUUAGCAACUACCAAAUGAAAACAUACAACACACGCAGGCAGCCAAAAUAAAAUAAAUAACCAGUCAGGCCUCUGUUAUGCAAAUACUUUCAGUUAAGUAAAGCAGCAUUACAUUACUUUUCAAAAGUUCAUUAAGUGGUUCCCUGAAGCCGCCUUUUUUACCCACAGCAUUGAGUUUUCAGGUCACUCACCAUUCAGCUUGCCAGAGAUUGUUGGGUGCCAGCUGUAUUUGUAUUGUUUUGCGUUGCUGUUAGUGUUACUGUUGUGCCAGGUAACCAGACUCUGUAGCAAGAGAUAGAAACACAGAACAAAAAGAUGCCCCGGAGCAUCUUCCAGAGCAUCUUCUUUCCUGUGCCAGAGCAAUUCCAAUCUUAAUGUAAUAUACAAAAAAGAGAGGGAGAGGGGAAAAGAAAAAAAAAGAAAAGAAAACAGCAGGUGGAGACAGGGAAGUGAAAAAGAAAUGAUGAGACAAGUACUGAUUGGUGUGAUACCAAGCGGCCUCAACACAACAGCUGCUAUCUGGCAUCAAAUUCUUUGCAUAAGUGAUGUCUGGAUGGGGCCUAUAAGGAACUUGCCAGCACAUUUUACCACAUGAGCCAUACGUUCUAUGUCACAACUGCCAAAAGUGCUUUGGGGUUAUAAGGAUGGUUUGUGGUUGUGGCUUGGCAAAAAGUAUAAGAAGGCAAGAGUGUGUGUCUUUCAACUGUACUGAUAUGCCAAUAAUAUUAAAAAAAAAAAAUUAGCAAGACUCCCAAACACAGCCCUUGUGACAUUAUUGUGAAAAGAAAUGUUUAUUUAAAACAAACGUGUGAAUCACAAAACCUAACCGUCAGCCUCAAGUGAUUUGGAAGAACUGUUCCGAAAGUCUUUCCACUCUCAACCCCCCCCUCCCCAAUCUCUGCAAGCUGCAAUUGCAGGCUGAGUCCCUUAACAUUGAUUAGCAGCCCACACAGUGCUCUGCGAGCCUGACUUUUGAAGGUAAACCCUGAUUCCUUCAAGGAAAUGCCAGAUGCUCACAGUAGGUUGUCACAGGAUCAGGGUAGGAGCUAACUGUCCCAGUUUUUUGCUUGCAUGUAUCUGGCAUGAUACACACCUCACUCUGGAAACCUUGACCUAUAUUACGUUACACUCCUAGUUAAAAUAUAAUUCAUGUCAGUUUGAAAACCGCAUCCUUUAAAACAUAAUGUACUUUAACAUUCUUUCUGCCCCCCCCCCCCGCCUUUAAUUUAGUAAGGCUUUAAGAGCAUCAUGUGCUUGAACUCUGGGCUGCUCCCGGGCAUUUAAAAAAGUAAUUGGAGUAUUUAGGCUUUAAAUGGAUCCUCUUUUCAAUCCAAAUAGUAUCACACAUCAGAGAUGUCAGUAUGAAUGGUUGAAGAGAGAUUAAAAAUUCUCCUAAAAGCCUGGUAAUUAAAUCAUCUAUACAUCCACAUAUUUGGUCUAAGCAACCCUGAGUGCCUGAGGCUCCAUCUCUGCACUGCAGAGCUCCCACCACCUCAGAACAUGUGGUACAAAAACCAGCACCUGAUCCUGCCUGAAAUGUCGGGUGUCAGUCCCGCUAUUGGCUAUUCAUUUGGGAUUGCUCAGUAUUUCUCUCUGAAGAAAUAAUCUUUUCUCAGUGAAGAAUCCUGUGCCCAGACCCAGAAAGUUACUUCAGUGCCUGACUCUAGCCUGCAGUCGAUGGAAUUAGGCACCGAAAUACCUUCAGGAUUCAUGCCUUCAUCUUUUUAUUCCUCCCGUACAAUGUCUAGUGCCUAUGAACCACUGCAAACAGCAAGGGGGUAAAUAAUGGCUGAAUUCUGCUCCAGGUUCAGACCUGAGAGCAGUUGUUAUAAUUAAGCCAUAUUAAUUACUCAUCUUUUUAAAUUCUUUUUAUAACCUCACAAGUUUUUAUAUUCUCUGAAAAGAGGCAUAAAACAACAACAGAGACGAUCCUACCUCACAGAGUGUGAUGUCUGGUACAACCGCAUGUAGCACUCCGGCUGAAGAGGCAUUUGCACUCUGCCCCUCAGGUGUCCCAUCCCCACCACUAGGCAGGUUGUCACCUGAAGGAGGUCACACUAAACGUCAGAUAACUCAGUAUCACAGCUAUAUGCUACACUUACACUCUCUGGAAAGUCUAACCUGUCAAUAAUUACAUAGCAAAGAAGUUACAAAUAAAAUUAACCCUUCAUCUUCCUGCUUACCUCAUUCUAGUCCCAUGUCUUAAAACAGUGCAUGCCUGAUCAGAGAGUAGAAUUUUUGAUUAGAAAUGGUUCAGAUGAUCACUCUUUAAUGUUCUUAACUGCAAGCCAUUUAUUUAUUUAUUUAUUUUUAUCCAGUCUUUACUUACAAAGGAGCAGCUGCAUGGAUGUUCUCACUUCUUGUUAGUCUAACCCAGUUUGGAAAGCCAUGUGCAGGCUCGUUCCUGAUAAAGAGUGAUAGCCCCUUUUCCUGCUCCUUUCCUUCCAAAAUUUAUUAAAAAUAUAAACAGGUCGACAACUGAGAAAGCAAUGCAGGAAUCUUCCUAUAUUAUCAUUGUAGUUGGUAAAAUGGAAAUAGCAACAGCAGCUCAGCAGCUUUCUUAGUAACUGCAUCUUGCUUAUUACAGUAAUUAUUACAAACAUUCAGAAAUAUGUCAUCUUGAAUACAUGCACCCAGCUCUACUAAUAGAUAACAAGAUUCUGAAGUCACAAAAAUUGGAUCUAAUCAGAUCAACUAACCUUUAACAGUCAUUUUCUCUUACCAAAAAACUGAUUGGAUUCCUUUGCUUUGUCAUUUUGCUUGCGUAGUCCCACUUCUGAACAUGUCUGCUGACUUGUCUCUGUAAAAAUGAAAUGUGUUUGUCCUAUGUGUGGAAUUUUACAUUCUACAAGUUCAGUUUCUUUAUGUAUGGGAAGGAGUGUGGUCAUUCACACCAGCCCAAUAAUCAGAGGUAAUUUUCAGUGUAUAUGAUGGCUCCAGCAUGUUCCUCAAGGGCACUUGUUCCACAGCUCUUACCACAAGUCACAAAGCACCCAUGUGCUGUUGAACAGAUUUCACAUUUCAAAUAAAAUAUUGACCCUCACAGUUAGCAUGUGUUAGCAGCUGGGGCUUGGGGCAUACACAUCAUCAGAGGGGAAAAGCACUACAUCUAAGGUGCAGUUUAAAGAUUGGAUUAACUGUCUUCUAACAUUCCCCUCCCUUGUCCUGACCUACUAGCAUCAAAACAGUAAUGCCCAAGGGUUCCAAGAGCAAAAUGGUGGGGCAUGACAAACCGUCUCUCUUUCAAGUGUCUGCAGCUGCCACAUUUGCUAUUUUAUUUGGGCUUUCUUAAAAUGCUCUUCAAUGAACUGAAUUACUUUCGGUUGUAAAUCUCAGAUGGAAAAAUGCAGUAUUAGGCAUAUCUGGCUCUCCAUCCCUCAAGUAAUAUCCAUAUGCACAUUCCUUCCCCUUGCCAAUCUCUGUUUGCUCAUGACUCUGCUGGAUUUUAAGCAAAGGACCUUGCAUAUGGUAGCAGCACUCCACUGGUCACAAUUCAAGGCAGCUGUAGAUUUCUAAAUGAAAUAUAAUAUGGAAAUUCUUAAAUAGAGACUCUUGGACUUGUAAGUACAGAAGUGUUUGAGAUUCACUGAAUAUACACAACAGCUCAUUCUCUGUGCUUCAGAAGCUCACUGGAGGAAGCAGGGCUUGUCAUUUAAUACAGUAAUUAUAAUGAUUCAUUAUUAUGAUUAUUAAUUAUAAUCAUAUAAUCACAGUAAUGAUUAAUAAUUACAGUCAUUACUAUUUAUAUUAGAACAGAUCCUAGAGGCCCCAGUCAGAAUAGUGGGCUACACUGUGCUUCAUAUGGCAAGGGUGGACAAUUAGGGGCACUCUAAUGAUUUGGAGACUGCAGUCAAGGACACAGAUCCUUCAGAUCUGAGCACAGCAUUUGCUUAAUGCAAUGUGCAUAAUCCAGUUUUGUUCAGUGCCAUGCAGGCUGUGAAUGGAGAUGUGCAGUUCUGUCAGGCAUGUGGCAUCAAAAAGCAUAAGAUACCCUGGGGAAUGACAGUGGGGACAAUGACAAGGGAAACAAGGUGCCAGUGACAGCUUAGAGAAGCUACCUGCGGCUGUAAUGUUUGCAAAAAUAGUGGCUACUUCUAUGCAUCUCCUGGUUCUCCACUUUCUGACAAUCCCAUGCUUUGGUGAUAAGAGAAUGUUGUGACAAGCACAGCCUAUCUUCAGAAGGAUUUUCCAGCUCAUCAGGAUGUUCUUGCCCAGCUAAGCUGUGUAGAUGUACUUCUCUACAUGUUUUCUGAUUUAGUGUUGCUUAAGACUGUUUUGACUCGUGAGGUACUUAACCCCUUCUCCCCUCCCUUCGACAACACACACACACGCACGCACACACACAUACACACACACACACACACACACACACACAGUGAUCUGCAUGGUUUGAACUGGGGACUCUGAGAUUUAAAAAUACCAGCCUCAAAUGCUUGAGUAAAUUGGCCGCAUCCAUUAUACCACAUCAUACCAUAACUUCUACCAAGGGACAACUGUUUAUCUUGUCUCCCUAGGAACUGCUUGCACUAAUUGCUGUGUCUGUUAUCUUCUCUCAUCAACCCUCUGCAGCACCCUUUAUUCACCUUUGGGGUUUGUUCCCUGCAGCAGUUUAACACACUGCAUGUUAACGCAAUAGUCUAAUAUUGCGUACCGAGAGGCCUCCUGGAGCCCAGGUGCUACCAAAGUUACUGGGCCUAGUCGUGAGUGUAAAGAUAAGUGUGUGUAAGUCAUCGCAAAUUAGGCCCUUGGUGGUUUUUUCUGCCCUUGGUGGUUUUUUCUGCCUAUAUGUAAACUGCUGCUUUCUUGCCAUCUCCUUGUAUGUGUUUAGCUUUCAAGAUGCAAAAGCUAAGAAUCUCUACAUCCAGUGCUAUAAUUUCUCUGUUCUUCUACAACCUACUCCUAAAUUUCUUGAUUAACUAAUAAAAGAUAAUGGGUUUGUUCUAUUUAGAGACCACAGAACAGAUUCAGCUACUGAGUUGUGUGCCAGUCUAACUUAACUAGCUUAAAUGUUCUUUAUACUAGAUCAAGUGAUACAAAUAAGAAAUGAGGCCUGAUUUUUUUCAAAGUUUAUAAAAUGCAUGACAGUCCAUUACUUAGAAAACUGUGAAAUAUCAAAAACAGUAAUGUUUUAUAUCAGUCUCCCUCCUCCAAAACAGGAAGAAACACAGGUCAUAAUAGGCUUAUCCUGUUAUUAUCAAACCCUGAAAAGAUGUUCACAUAUUGUGCAGGCAUAUCUGCCGCAAACUUCAUCAGAUAACUUAGUGAAAGUGUAUUUGGUAUGUGCUCCAUGACAUGAUGCAGAAAAAGAAUGGCAGCCCUGGAGGUACUUUGGUUAUUUCAGUAACAAAAGAAAAGAUAUUGACUGAUGCUCAGGUACAGAUGUCAUUGUUUCAACAGGACAGUGUUGCUGUUUAACAAACAAUUACUUGGUGCAAUGUGAUUCUUCUAGAGAUUAUGUUGUUGUUAUUAAAAAGUUUUACAUCCCUAGGAAUUCUCACAUAAAAACUUCUAUAAAAAGAAAGUUUGAUGCUGGAAAAUGAAGCUUGGAAAUGACAAAGUUGAAGCUUUCUUAUGAUCCAGUCCCUGAUUACGUGAUCAUAUAUGUAUGUUGAACAGGGAAUGAGGCGGAGUUAGAUGGUCCAAGGGAAUGAGUUAUGGCAAAGCCUUGUCUGAUUCACUACAAAGGUUAGAUGGUAUGCACUCUAUGAGACAUGUGGCCUCACAGCAAACAAUGAGCAUAAAAAUAAAAAUUGAACAGCUGCAUCAUUUGCUAAGUGCGUCCGUCUUGUACAUUGAGCAAGCCUGGGUUCCCGAAAAAAAAAUGAAGUGUCUGAUCGUAUUUGUUAUAUUUAUACACACCAUGCGAAUGCAUCGAUAUUGGAUUCUUUAUAAGGCUGGGAUAUGUUCUGGACUCCAGACAGAUACAAGAAUAAAAGACAUCUUAGAGAAUAUUGCAUUUUUGGCAACAUCUGUUGGCUCAAAGGAAUUGUAAAGGAAGUAAAUUAAAUACUACUAAGAAUGUAUAUAUUUAUAGUACUUUUCACACAAGCAUCCCAAAACGCCUCUCAAAAAAUUAAGCCUCAUAAGAUUGCUGUGAUUUAAGUAAUGAGCAUCACUUUUUUCUAAUGUGUGAAAUGAAUCAUAAAAAGAGUAGGUAGUUUACCCAGGCUAUCAUAAGCAAGAAUGCCUGAAUUUUAGGCUCCCAUUUUAAUACUUAGACAAACUGUCUUCUUUGAAAACAUCCAGAGAAGCUAUUGAUUUUCGUGCUUUCUUGCAGUUCUCCAAUAAUCCAGCAAGAUGCUCAGGCACAUGGUUAACUUAAGGCCAUUGAUUGCUGGCCUACGUUUCAGAAAAACAUUAUGGAGUGCAGUACAUGUAGUUUUAGAGAAAAAGUACGUUUAUAAGAGCACUGGUCAUUUUACCAACUGUGCCUAGAAUUUCCUGGACAUUAUGAAUGUUCAGCUUAAUCCCCAGUGUCAGAUCGUAUUAAAAUACUGUCCUCAAAAAGGAACAUUCCAAAUUUCCAUGAUCUUUGCCAGUUUCCAAUGAUCUGACAUUUAUUUGAGCUAUUGUGCAAAGUUUUCUGUUGAGUCAGAUCAUUCAGGACUAGCUGUUGGAACCACAGAGUGUCAGCAGAACAUAAUUCAUCUGCUGGUAAGCGGCAGCACAGUUUAUUGGAUAGGUAGUGCUCCUUCAUGCAGAGAUAUGCCACCAGGAAAUCCAUUCUUUAGUCAAAAUAGGAACCAAGCAUUCUGUUGCCCCUUUGAUCUGAUUCCUUUAGAAGGAGAAAUGACACUAGUGUCUCUGUUGUGGGGGGAGAAGAGGGAGGCAGAAGUAAUCUUAUUGAUUGUGAAGCAUUUCCAUGACACCAUUUUCCAGAUCACCAGUGUUUUUGUGUGUCUCUGUUGGCUUUUUGGCUGAUUUGACUUCAUCUUUCUGGUUCUUACAUAUACACAUACACCUGCUCGACCUCUACAUUUUUAGUAAAUUCUUAGGCGAAGUUCCUCAGGCUGCGCAACUGUGCUCAUACCAAGCUUUUACUUCACAACAGCAGAAAUACCCCAAAAGAUCAUGCCUUGCAUUUGUAGUAUGAAUAACAGUUGAAUAAAACUUCCCUGACUACACAGUGAGACCAGGACUUUGAACCCACAUAUGCUUGAUGUGAAUACAGUUUUCCCAUAAGGGCAAAGAAAGAAAAAUUUUUGUGAACUAUUCUCAAAAGUAAGUGUGCACGGAGCUCUAAUUAGCUUUUACUUCUGUAGAUAGGACAUCCUGGUUUCAAGACAGAAGUGAAGUUGACUUAAUUGCUUAGAUCUUAAGCUGUGCAAGGUAAAAACCAUCUGUGCUGUGUGCUUGUGUAGUCCUAGCAGCACUGGAAUCAGACUGAAGCUCCUCAGCAAGACCUCAAUGCAAAUAAUGAAUGCAGCUACAUAAGAGGACAUGGAGUGACUCAUUCUAAACCACAAGAUGUUUGGACUGCAAAUAAAGACAGAUAUGUGGGAUAUAAUCUGCUGUUGAGUUUUAACACAAUUCCUGUUAACUUUGAGCUACACACACAGAGAACAAUAGCAAGCUAUAGAUUUUGUUUCCAUCCCUGACAUUUCACUAAACGCUGCAAGCCUAAAAGUUUUUGAAGGUUAUAUGCAAUGUCCUGCGGAAUGAACGUCAAAUGUCGACUCUAACACUCUUGCAAGAUCUGAACAAGAAUAAGACAACUCUAUAGACUGAGGCAAGUUUAUUAUUACAAAUACCUUAUUAAAUCUAAAUGGUAAUGGCAUUCCAAUUAGCUCAUUGUUAGGAAUCUUUCAUGUUUGACUUUCAUUUAGACUGAUUACGGGAAUAAUACAGACCCUGUAUAAGUAAUUGGCACAAAAUAAAAGCAUCUGAGCUGCAAAAACCCUCCUAGAGGCUGCACUCUUUUAGAAAAAUAUAUAAAUAAAAGCUUCCUAUCUUUCCCAGCUCAUGAGCUCUCUCUGUUCACCAUAAUAAUGAGACAACCCAUUGAGUCUCCUGUGGGGCCAGUGGUAUCAGAGUUCCCUUUCUACCUACCUCUCUCUUCUCCGUAGCUGUAGGGGGCCUCCUUUUCUUUUACCCUCCACCCUCCUAGUCUUUCCUCCCAUCAUUGCAAGCCUCAGCACUGUUUUAUUGAUCCUUCUCAGCUGCGGAUUCUUUCACACCCAGAUCACAGGCUAGCCUCUGCCUCUCUCCCACACCCUCCUCCUCCUCCUCCGUGGCUGUUAAGCCAUGCUAGUCUCGCCGGCGAUCAAACAAGCAGCUGAGAACAUGCCUUUCGGUGUGCUGGCUCCCUAUUUCUUGCAGAUAAAAGGUGUUUUCUUUCACAUCAGAGCCUCCAUGAGUAUGACAGGGGCUAAUGGGUGACUCCUCACAGCAGGCUCCUGCUUGCUUCCUUCAGAGCGGGGCUUGGGGAAAGGUCUCUUUCAAUACAUCGCUACGGCCCAGGCCAGAGAUUUUCCUUUCCUCCUCUGGUGGAAGGAGGCCCACGGCACGGUGCGGUGUUGUGGAGUAUCUCUCAGCCGUGGGGAGGCCUGAAGCACAGCCCUUUGAGAGCUCGGCCAGGCAGACAAGACCUAUUCUCUACCCCAUGGAUAAGUUCUGGUCAGACAAGGGUGCACCGAGCCCAGCGUGCCCAGCUAACACCUGAGGAGGAAGGUUCAGGAAAAGACAUCCAAAGCCAUUGCCUAGAGCCUAGUUCGUUAGCUUAAGAGAAGGAGCAGCACACGAUAUUUGAUGAAAAGUGAGAAGGCCACAAGCCUUCAUCUCUGCCAGACUUCUCUUCCUCUUUCCCUGAUUAAUCUAGUGCCAGCUCUGCCCUAUUUCUGGGCACAGAAGCAAUAUGUAAAAUGUGCAAUGUAUGAACACUUUCCUGCUCUUUGGUUUGGGUAUGCGCUUCAGCCACACGCUACUUCGCAUUGGAGCAAGACACAAGCCUGUACCUUCUGCCUCUUCCCGCCCCACGCUGACUGAGAAGGAAACCCGACAGGUGGGCUCACGGGACCCGAGACAUAUUCCAACCGCUUCCCCGAGAAGGAGAUCAAGCUGGGAGCAGUGCUCUGGAACACAGCUUCCUGGCAGGGUAGACAGAGCAUGUGUUAACCGUAUGACAGCGAUCCAGGAAAGGUCUCUCUGGUGUGGGAAAGGGAAGGGCCAGCAGCUCCUAUUUAGGAACUUUUGGCUUCUGCAGGGCUCUGGCUCUGGCUCUGUAGGGUGAGCCAGAAGCUGUGUGAGCUGCAGCAACAGGACUUUGGGAAGAGCUGGGGAAGUAAGUAGCUGGCAACAGCAGGCAACUGUAGAAUAACAGGCAACUGAAAGCUGGGACCGAACAGCCUAAAAGCUGGGACACGUUCUGUUCUGCUGCUCUUAGAGGAGCAUAGUGGUACCUGCAGCAUGAAGGUGCUGGACUAGUCAAGCAGUGGACCAGGGGACCAGAAAGGCUGUGAAAUGCCCAUCCUUGGAGAUUUUCAAGACACAACUGAACAAAGCCCUGAGCAGCCUGGUUUGAAUUCAGUGUUGACCCUGCUUUGAGCAGGAGGUUAGACUAGAGACCUCCUGAGGUUCCCUUCAACCUGAAAGAUUCUGGGAUUUGAUGGCUUAACAUGGGCUGGGAAUGGUUAUUUUGCGCUCUCAGUUUGUGAGAGCAUCUUUUACUUCUGGAAGCUCUGUCUGAAGAAUCUCUUCCAUUACUGGAGCAGCACAGUGCCUAAGGAAACCUGCCUAUGCUGCAGAGUACUGUCUCCGUGAGGCCUGCAUUCCCCCUGCUCACCAGACAACCAGUUUGCAACCCUGUAGAUGAGCUUGGUGACCCUUUGCAUUUGGUCCUACAGUAUGUCUGUAGAGUCAAUGAUAAUCAGCUGACUGGUUGGAUACUUUCCUUCCUUUCUCUUGUCUGUUAAGGAAUCGUGACUCUCCUGACGGAAUCAGUGAAAAGAUUUCCAUGAAUUUCCAUAGAGGGCUCAGGAUUUUUAAGCCUCCCUGGGGAACGACAGUUAGUGGAAUUUCUGUGUUGGGUGGACCAUGAUCUGAUACAAAAAUCAGUAAUGUUUUAUUAAAUAACACUUGAUCCACCGUAACCUGAUAUCACACUCUUACGAGGAAUUAGAUGGGGUUUUUUUAAUGCAAAUAUUGAAGUAACUGGCUCAAAAAGCCAGUUCGUCAUCAUUUCACCUGUCCCAACAAGUAUACAGGCACAUGCUUAACUAAAGCACAGAGCUAAGUACGUGUUUAAUUGCUUUUCUGGACUAAAUAAGGGUCUUUCUUGAACAGAAAUUGAAAAUUGCUCCAUAGUUGAAGUGUAUAAACAGACCUGUACAAGAGAAGUCUGUAUUGUGUGAAUGAGAAAUAUUCCCAUGGAUGGCUAAGUUUUAAAUUAACUCCAAUUUUUAUGGGACUCUUUGAACCAGAAACCACUACAGAACUUUUAAUACUGAGCUGGCAAUAAUUUAGGCACUGCUGUAUUGUCAGGCAUAUUUAUCCUGCCUUUGUAUUUGUAACUGUUUUAUAUUUACUUGUCUCAUUAAAAUAACCAAGAAUUCA
Long non-coding RNA from Dromaius novaehollandiae (emu), 18624 nucleotides. RefSeq lists it as uncharacterized. The transcript has 2 exons. The record is from RefSeq and is a predicted model, not a curated record. NCBI's taxonomy places the organism in Eukaryota, Metazoa, Chordata, Aves, Casuariiformes, Dromaiidae.